GGAGAGUUUGAUCCUGGCUCAGGACGAACGCUGGCGGCGUGCUUAACACAUGCAAGUCGAGCGGUAAGGCCUUUCGGGGUACACGAGCGGCGAACGGGUGAGUAACACGUGGGUGAUCUGCCCUGCACUUCGGGAUAAGCCUGGGAAACUGGGUCUAAUACCGGAUAUGACCUCAGGUUGCAUGACUUGGGGUGGAAAGAUUUAUCGGUGCAGGAUGGGCCCGCGGCCUAUCAGCUUGUUGGUGGGGUAAUGGCCUACCAAGGCGACGACGGGUAGCCGACCUGAGAGGGUGACCGGCCACACUGGGACUGAGACACGGCCCAGACUCCUACGGGAGGCAGCAGUGGGGAAUAUUGCACAAUGGGCGAAAGCCUGAUGCAGCGACGCCGCGUGAGGGAUGACGGCCUUCGGGUUGUAAACCUCUUUCAGCAGGGACGAAGCGCAAGUGACGGUACCUGCAGAAGAAGCACCGGCUAACUACGUGCCAGCAGCCGCGGUAAUACGUAGGGUGCAAGCGUUGUCCGGAAUUACUGGGCGUAAAGAGUUCGUAGGCGGUUUGUCGCGUCGUUUGUGAAAACCAGCAGCUCAACUGCUGGCUUGCAGGCGAUACGGGCAGACUUGAGUACUGCAGGGGAGACUGGAAUUCCUGGUGUAGCGGUGAAAUGCGCAGAUAUCAGGAGGAACACCGGUGGCGAAGGCGGGUCUCUGGGCAGUAACUGACGCUGAGGAACGAAAGCGUGGGUAGCGAACAGGAUUAGAUACCCUGGUAGUCCACGCCGUAAACGGUGGGCGCUAGGUGUGGGUUCCUUCCACGGAAUCCGUGCCGUAGCUAACGCAUUAAGCGCCCCGCCUGGGG
Molecule: ribosomal RNA, 856 nt
Filed under: Rhodococcus erythropolis
Lineage: Bacteria; Bacillati; Actinomycetota; Actinomycetes; Mycobacteriales; Nocardiaceae
Description: bacterial SSU rRNA
Rfam family: Bacterial small subunit ribosomal RNA
Source: RNAcentral